GAUGAACGCUGGCGGCGUGCCUAAUACAUGCAAGUCGAGCGAACAGACGAGGAGCUUGCUCCUCUGACGUUAGCGGCGGACGGGUGAGUAACACGUGGAUAACCUACCUAUAAGACUGGGAUAACUUCGGGAAACCGGAGCUAAUACCGGAUAAUAUAUUGAACCGCAUGGUUCAAUAGUGAAAGACGGUUUUGCUGUCACUUAUAGAUGGAUCCGCGCCGCAUUAGCUAGUUGGUAAGGUAACGGCUUACCAAGGCAACGAUGGGUAGCCGACCUGAGAGGGUCAUCGGCCACACUGGAACUGAGACACGGUCCAGACUCCUACGGGAGGCAGCAGUAGGGAAUCUUCCGCAAUGGGCGAAAGCCUGACGGAGCAACGCCGCGUGAGUGAUGAAGGUCUUCGGAUCGUAAAACUCUGUUAUUAGGGAAGAACAAAUGUGUAAGUAACUAUGCACGUCUUGACGGUACCUAAUCAGAAAGCCACGGCUAACUACGUG
Molecule: ribosomal RNA, 497 nt
Filed under: uncultured bacterium
Lineage: Bacteria
Description: partial 16S ribosomal RNA
Rfam family: Bacterial small subunit ribosomal RNA
Source: RNAcentral